AAGUUUUGGCAAUGGGGGAAACCCCGAUCCAGCCAUACGGCGCGUAUGAUGGAGGCCUUCGUGUGGUAGAGUACUUUUCGCAGAGAGGAAAAGGUAUCGCCUAAUCCUGGAGACAGCUGCCGGUAGCUGCAGAAUAAGCACCGGCUAAGUACGUGCCAGCGGCCGCGGUAAUACGUAGGGUGCAAGCGUUAAUCGGAAUUACUGGGCGUAAAGCGUGUGUAGGCGGUUCGGAAAGAAAGAUGUGAGAUCGCAGGGCUUAACCUUGGAACUGCAUUUUUAACUGCCGAGCUAGAGUAUGUCAGAGGGGGGUAGAAUUCGACGUGUAGCAGUGAAAUGCGUAGAUAUGUGGAGGAAUACCGAUGGCGAAGGCAGCCCCCUGGGAUAAUACUGACGCUCAGACACGAAAGCGUGGGGAGCAAACAGG
RNAcentral lists this ribosomal RNA (424 nucleotides) under uncultured bacterium. RNAcentral's name for it is "partial 16S ribosomal RNA". It matches the Rfam family "Bacterial small subunit ribosomal RNA", at positions 359 to 776 of the family's 1533-position model. The record is from RNAcentral.